This 371-nucleotide ribosomal RNA is filed under the name uncultured bacterium. Its description in RNAcentral is "bacterial SSU rRNA". It matches the Rfam family "Bacterial small subunit ribosomal RNA", at positions 527 to 896 of the family's 1533-position model. The record is from RNAcentral.
GUAGGUGGCGAGCGUUGUCCGGAUUUACUGGGCGUAAAGAGCGCGCAGGCGGUUGGUCAAGUCGAAUGUGAAAGCCCCCGGCUCAACUGGGGAGGGUCAUUCGAUACUGGUCGACUCGAAGGCAGGAGAGGGACGUGGAAUUCCCGGUGUAGUGGUGAAAUGCGUAGAUAUCGGGAGGAACACCAGUGGCGAAGGCGGCGUUCUGGCCUGUUCUUGACGCUGAGGCGCGAAAGCCAGGGGAGCGAACGGGAUUAGAUACCCCGGUAGUCCUGGCUGUAAACGAUGGACACUAGGUGUUGGUGGUAUCAACCCCGCCAGUGCCGUAGCUAACGCAUUAAGUGUCCCGCCUGGGGAGUACGGCCGCAAGGCUA